This 253-nucleotide ribosomal RNA is filed under the name uncultured bacterium. Its description in RNAcentral is "partial 16S ribosomal RNA". It matches the Rfam family "Bacterial small subunit ribosomal RNA", at positions 524 to 776 of the family's 1533-position model. The record is from RNAcentral.
UACAGAGGGUGCGAGCGUUGUCCGGAAUCACUGGGCGUAAAGGGCGCGUAGGCGGCCUGAUAAGUCGGGGGUGAAAUCCUGUGGCUUAACCACAGGGCUGCCUCCGAGACUGUCGGGCUCGAGCACAGUAGAGGCAGGUGGAAUUCCCGGUGUAGCGGUGGAAUGCGUAGAGAUCGGGAAGAACAUCGGUGGCGAAGGCGCUCUGCUGGACCAUAACUGACACUCAGGGACGAAAGCUAGGGGAGCGAAUGGG